AUGAGUGGGUGUUUGUACUGUACUGACAUCCACAUGCAUGAGCCCUUGUUUUUUUUUCUUACAGUCUUCCUGGCUCUAUGUCUGGCUGGCUGGGCUGUAUCUGGCGCUUCUUUUGAAGCUCAGAAGACCUCCCCUGUCUGUUACCUCUGUAACGAUACUCAAUGCCAAAAUAUUGAGUCUGUUUAUGACCAUUUGACAGAUAAUUUGACUCUGUGGUCACGAGGUGAAAUGGCUUCCCUGCCUCAGUGCCCCACCACCCCCCCACCAUCUGGAAAAUGUCUCUUGUGUGUUGAGAGCCAGAAGGUCUACGCUGUGUGUGACUCAGAGAUCAUCAAGCCAGUCUUUGAGGGCCAAGGGAGCUCCAUGCCUGUCAUCGAAGCCAAUUGCCCCAGCACUGUUUCAACUGACGAGACGGGUGGACCUGGAGGUUUUGCUGGGAGUCCUGAUCCAAAUCCCCCCACAAUGACCCCUGAUGUCACUGGCAGGUUAUCCAAGGAAAAAAUAAUCGCUAUUGUGUUAAUCCCAAUUGCCUUCUUCGUUAUCCUCAUCCUCGUUGUUUUGCGCAGAAGGACCAGUUCAAGUGUUGUCUGGUGUCCACUUCAGAAGUCCACUCAGAGCAACACUAGACCCAGUUAAAGUUAUUAAAGAAAAAGGUUGAUAUUGUGUGAGACAAGGAAAAGAGGAAGUGAUGGACCUGCAAGAAGGGUGAAUGUUGUCCAUUUCCUGGCUAUGGUUUAACUUGAGGAAACAGUAAGGUCUAUUAGAAAGCCAGGUUGUUACAUUUUGAUAGCUUUAACUCGGCACAUUUACAACAGGGUACAUGUGUGUCUUGGGAUUCCUAGGGCCUGGAAGUAAAGUCAGGGAGAGGUCUCGGUGAGACUUACACAGAGGGUCCUGCCAUUUUAAACCAUAUACUUUUUGAUUCGUUUGCGUGUUUUGCACGUCUGUAUGGUUGAUUGAAACAUAUGAAGUUAAUAAUUAAGUUGUUUUAUUUAUAUUAAUGUAUUUUUAUGUUUUUAAUGUUGAUAGUAUUUGCAAGGUACUGUAUUUGCAAGUGAAUCUCAUCAUAUGUGCUCUUCCCUUGUCUAAUGUCAGAAUAAACACCAAAGAACUGGGUUCACUGGCUGGGCAUGUGUUUAUUUACACAGCACAACACAAAAGAAUAGCUGUACAAUCUGUUAAUAAAACUGGUGAGGCCAUACCCAGCCCUACAAAGAGGAAAGGGACAGGAGAGGGAACAGGUUUAGAGUUCCACUCCUAUUGACCAAAAUCCAUAAUCUGGACACAAACUGAU
This 1294-nucleotide long non-coding RNA is filed under the name Salmo trutta (river trout). RNAcentral's name for it is "lncRNA (ENSSTUG00000004968.1)". Lineage: Eukaryota; Metazoa; Chordata; Actinopteri; Salmoniformes; Salmonidae. The record is from RNAcentral.